This 1101-nucleotide long non-coding RNA is filed under the name Oryza brachyantha (malo sina). Its description in RNAcentral is "long non-coding RNA (OBRA_LNC002834)". The record is from RNAcentral. Lineage: Eukaryota; Viridiplantae; Streptophyta; Magnoliopsida; Poales; Poaceae.
GUGUCCAUCUAAUCAACUUCUUCCUCUCGCCUGGUUGUAGCGCCCCCGUUUUUAUUUGUUUAUUAGGUUCCCAUCUUUUCUUUAGCAGAGUUCUAUUUUUGUUGUUUAAUUAGAUGAUCCUAGUUUUAUUCGUAUUCUCUCUGUCCAAAUCAUCUAUCCAAAAAUCUCAAAACAAUCUCGGCACCCAAGUCACUCAAAAGCAUCGUUUUUGCUUCCUUGUUUUUAACCGUUGGCUUCUCUCAUCCGACGUCCAUCUCUUUUAUUCCAUUGAUCACCUAGCCUAAAGCCCGCCGUCUCCGCUAGCCUUUUUCCUUCUGCGUGCUCAAGUUUGUCUCUCGUCCUAUUACCCCCAUGCCCUCCCUCUUUUUUUUUGUUGUUUUGUUCGUUCAUUCAAGGCAGUAGACCCUCAAUAGCCACAGCAUUGCGCUGCAUCGCUGCAGCCGAGCUUGCCGGGGACGUCCAGCUCGCUGCCCUCGCUGCGUCCCACAUUUUCCGACGGAGAGCGCUCGCUGCAAAUCGCUGCCCGUGCCAUCUGAAAAGCCAAAAAUCGAGCUGAGAAGGCAGCGAGCAGAGAGUAGUAGCAGCCACGACGGCCCCGGCCACGGCGGACCCCGGACAACGCCGCGACGCCUAUAAAUACCCUCGGAGACUCACCGUUGCCUUCACCACCUCCAGCCCCAGCGCCACCCCUCCUCACGGCCUUCCUCCCCGCCACCAGCGCCUGCUCCCUCCCUGGUCAGCCUCUCCCUUUUGCUGCCCUUCCAUGGCUGUGUGUGUAAGUGAGAGGGAGAAUAAAGGAGAUAGAGGAGGCAGCAGCUACGGGAGGAGGAAGAGAGCAAAGAGAGAGAAGAGAGAAAGCAAGGAGAGAGCACGUGAAGACUAGAGAAAAGGGAGAGAGAGAGUAUGGUAAUAAAGGAGGUGGGCCAUGUGGACCCCACAUUGCCCCCUCAAUGAAGUCAACAGCCUGGCCCCACCUGUCCGGGGAUAUUCCCUGGAAUAUCCCAUUUCAAAUUUUGAAAUAGUACAACGGCUACAAAAUAUUUUUAAACUUUAAAAAUUCAUAUCUCCCAAACCGUAACUCUGAUCGACUUCGUUCUUGUU